Molecule: long non-coding RNA, 1193 nt
Filed under: Marmota monax (woodchuck)
Lineage: Eukaryota; Metazoa; Chordata; Mammalia; Rodentia; Sciuridae
Source: RNAcentral
CUUAGCUGACCAGUUUUGCUUUCUUUCUCUUCCUUGUUCCAGAAGCGCGGAUAUGAUGCAUGGAGACGCAGAGACGUGAGGAACAUGCUGAGGAAGGAGCAGAAACUAGAGAGAGUGCAGGCUGCCCACGUCCAGGGUCCUACCACAUCUCCAAGCCGAGACUAGGCGAGCUCUCUUUAGCUCCCACAGCCUCCUGCGGCACUUGGGUUGACACGGAGCUUCCCACAGCCCCCUGCUUCACCAUAGUCCCUGAGGGCAGAUACAAAGCUUGCUCUAACCACUGCCCUGUGGGGUGCCUGGCUAGUGGCUGAAGACCUAGGAGAACACCUGAGAAUUUUACCUGGUGAAAGAGAUGCAGGAGACCCCAGGCUUCCUUUACACCCGUGAUCCCUAACCAGGAUUGCACCUCAGAGUCCCUGAGCAUGUGAAACGGAUAGACAUGAACUCAUCUACACCACAGCUGCCUGUGUCCAAACAUUCAGAUUCAGGAGGCCUGAGAGGCACAGAGAUCUCCGUCAGUAAGACUGACUUCUCUUCUUCCCACAAUGCCAUGAAGUUGGCUUUGUGGAACUUCGACAUCACUCCCGCCAUUCCUGCUUCCCGUUCUUCUUCCAGGGAAGUCUGCCUUUCAUGGGCUUCCUAAACUUUCAUAUUGGGCACCGAAAUGACAAGGAUUCUUUCCCCAAUCCUCUUACUGAAGAAACACGUUUGAUUACAAUGCCCAGAGAUUUUUGUAUUUUACCCAUUUGGCAGGACACAAAAGAGAAGAAGCAGGAGUUAAAUCUCAGGCAGACAUUCGCACGCAUUUUCAGUAUGAAGGCUAGUGUAGGUCUAGCCAAGAGUUACAGAUACAAAUCCCUUAAGUAAGGUGAGAUUUUCAAGGUGUCUCAAUAGUGUUUGCCUCUGGAUAGGUGGAGAAGGUUAUGGCGGGGGGGCACCCAAACAGAUAUGUCAGUAUUAUAUAUGUUCUUUCCAGAAGUGGGCAGGAGACCACUAUGUUUUUCAAAUACAUUAAGAGAUAUGCUUGCGAAUUCAAAAAUCUUCAAAAUAAAACGAGUAAUUCAGCAAAAGACAUUGCAACCUUGCUCUGAUCAAAGAUUAUAGAAACCAACAAAACAAAUAAAAGCCAAAGAAGCAAAAAAAGAGCUGUGGUUCCUAAGAAUCUUCCUUAAUAGUGAAUGAUUCCACGUUCC